CGCCGCCAGUCUAUAAGUCUCCUCCACCACCGGUGUACAAGUACAAAUCUCCUCCCCCGCCGGUUUACAAGUACAAGUCACCACCACCGCCGCCAGUCUAUAAGUCUCCUCCACCACCGGUGUACAAGUACAAAUCUCCUCCCCCGCCGGUUUACAAGUACAAGUCACCACCGCCACCGGUGUACAAGUCGCCUCCUCCACCAACAAAGCCAUACAAGUACAAGUCUCCACCACCACCAGUCUAUAAGUCACCACCGCCACCGGUUUACAAGUAAAAACCCCCCCCGCCACCGGUGUACAAGUAUAAGUCACCGCCGCCUCCAGUCUACAAGUCUCCUCCGCCACCAGUUUACAAGUACAAAUCACCGCCGCCGCCAGUCUAUAAGUCACCACCGCCUCCAAUGAAGCCAUACAAGUACAAGUCACCACCACCGCCGCCGGUUUACAAGUCUCCUCCUCCGCCGGUGUACAAGUACAAAUCACCGCCGCCGCCAGUCUAUAAGUCACCACCGCCUCCAAUGAAGCCAUACAAGUACAAGUCACCACCACCGCCGCCAGUCUAUAAGUCUCCUCCACCACCGGUGUACAAGUACAAAUCACCACCGCCACCGGUUUACAAGUACAAGUCACCGCCGCCGCCGGUGCACAAACCACCUCCACAUUACAUCUCUGCGUCACCCCCUCCACCAUACCACGUCUAGAUGAGUCAACCCCCCAAGGUAAUACUACUAAUCAACAACUCAUAUCCAAUCACUGAAUAAGGGGCCGUUUGACAUAGAGAAAAUAUAUUUGUAUUUGUGGGAAAAUUAUUUAUUUUGAAAUUAACAUAUUUGCAUUAGUGACAAAUAUCACAAAUAUUUUUAGUUAUCAUUGGUUUAUCUUAUUCUGAAAAACAAUAACGUAAUUCUAAUUUCCUCAAAUAAAAAAUUUAGUUCUAUUAUUUAUGAAAUAUACAUAUCAAACAUUAUAGCCUAGCAAGUUUUUAUUAAUUAAUAAUACUGACCCCUCUCUCAACAACUCGAGCUAUUGGAGAUACGAUGAUCGAUUUUGGACAUGGUAUCAUAGAUUUAAAAAACCAAGAGGUCUCCUUUUCAAAUCCCGACAGUCUCCAUUCCGUACAUAUGACUUAUCGUGUGAACCUCAUUUCUUCUUAAAACUUCUGUCUGAAGGGCAUAUUAAUGAAUACUAUAUACAAAAUUGAUCUGAACCUUCCCCCAACAACUUACAAUGCAACGAUUCAUGACAAUUUUCUCGAUUUAGUACUCGAUACUCGGUACGAAACGGUGCCUUAAUUACUAACUUGUGUCUUGGUCCU
RNAcentral lists this long non-coding RNA (1315 nucleotides) under Linum usitatissimum (flax). RNAcentral describes it as "long non-coding RNA (LUSI_LNC002448)". Lineage: Eukaryota; Viridiplantae; Streptophyta; Magnoliopsida; Malpighiales; Linaceae. The record is from RNAcentral.